CUGAAGGAAGUAGCAGACGCGCCGAGUGGUGUGGCCAGCCUGGCCUGCAGCAUUUAACAGCCUCUCUCAUUCGGUCAGAGAUGCAUUUUAUCGUUCUUUCCUGAGUAUUCGCUUUGUGUUGAACAUCAGAUCCACUGCUCAGCUGCGAUGUCCGACAAAACAGAGUUGCGUUCUCCAAACUUCUUGCUCAAGUCUUUCUUUGCUGGUGGUGUGGCCGGCAUGUGUGCCAAGACAACAGUAGCUCCACUGGACAGAAUCAAGAUACUUCUUCAGGGUCACCAAUGCCACUACAAGCAUUAUGGUGUAUUCUCUGGCCUCAAGGGCAUAGUGCAGAAAGAGCAAUUCCUUGGGCUAUACAAAGGCAAUGGAGCACAGAUGGUCCGUAUUUUUCCCUAUGCUGCCGUACAGUUUCUUUCAUUUGAAGCAUACAAACGAGUUAUACGGAACACCUUUGAAAAUACUUCCCAUGCAAGCAAGUUUGUGGCUGGUUCAUGUGCAGGUGUGACUGCUGCAGUGACUACUUACCCGUUGGACAUGGUCAGGGCAAGACUAGCAUUUCAAGUCAAUGGCCAUCACAUCUACAAUGGAAUCUUUCAUGUUGUGACGUCCAUUGUUAAGACGGAAGGCGGCGUCAGAGCAUUGUACAAGGGUCUUUCACCAACAGUUCUUGGUAUGGUGCCUUAUGCGGGGCUGUCCUUCUACGUCUUUGAGCGUUUGAAAGCCUUUUGCCUGGAAGUGUUUCCCAACACCUGCGGCCGUCCGUACCCGGGUAACACAGGUGGUAUUGUGCUUGUGGUUCCUGCCAAACUUCUGUGCGGGGGCUUUGCUGGUGCAAUUGCACAGACUUUUUCCUACCCUCUAGAUGUUGCCCGUCGACAAAUGCAGCUUAGCAUGAUGCACCCAGAAAUGAAUAAAUACAGCAAGAGCCUGUUCAGCACAUUGGCAUUGACCUUUCAUGAGCACGGCAUCUCCCGAGGAUUGUACCGUGGUAUGAGCGUCAACUACCUGCGUGCGAUUCCCAUGGUGGCCGUGUCGUUCUCUACAUACGAGGUUGCUAAACAGUUGCUGGGUCUGGACACAGGCCUCGACUCCUGAUCACAUAUCUCACUCUUAAUAACAGUGGUACACUUAACUGUGCCAGCCAGUCAUAAGCAUCAAAGUAACAGUCAGCAGCAACUUAAGGCAUAGCCAAGUCCUGGUGCUUUUGGCAAGAUGAAUUUGUCAUACAUGGGGCAUCCCACUUGGCCUUGCAGAGUACAGACUGUCUGAAGUACUGGAAUAUGCACACGCAUUUUUCUUGCAGUUCUGAAAAGUGCCACAGUGCAAGUGCACAUGCGAAACUGAUGGGACUUUCAGUACACCUAGAGACGAGACAACUGUAGGCCCAAUGUGUUUUGACAAAGCCUUUACUGCAGGCUGUGCACAGAGGCCAUGCAGUUGGUUUUGUGGGCACAGCUUUUGUAUCGAAAACACCAGAGUAAGUUUGCUUAGAAGUCUAGUGUGUCAGCAAAACCCCACACAUAAUCAUAACUCAACACCUCUUGGGUCUGCACAGCUUCUACUCAACUCAGCUGUGAUUUAACACAUAAGGCAUCGAGAUUCAAUAAAGUUAGAUGCAGGA
RNAcentral lists this unclassified non-coding RNA (1621 nucleotides) under Dermacentor andersoni. Its description in RNAcentral is "solute carrier family 25 member 16-like". The record is from RNAcentral. Lineage: Eukaryota; Metazoa; Arthropoda; Arachnida; Ixodida; Ixodidae.